GUAGGUGGGGAAUGAACCAACGAGACUCCACGCUGGGGAACUUUUAUAUCUGAAGUGUAAGAGCAAAGGGCUCUCUCUCUCUCUCUGUCUCUCUUUCUGUUCCUGUCUCUCUCUGUCUCGGUCUCGGUCUCUGUCUCUCUCUCUUUGCCUCUCUGUCUCUGUCUCUCUGUCUGUCUCUGUCUCUGUCUCUCUUUCCAAGCCCUCUGUUAUACAUAUGGUGUUGGGCACGAAUAUUUCCAGACUUUUCCAUCGUCACCUGGACUCUGGAAGAGGAGUAUCUUACAGACUUCAGGUCUGGCCUACCCAUUUUGUAGAUGGGAAAGCUGAGGCAUUGAAACGUCUAGGCUCUGGGCUGCUUGAGGACACCAAGGUGUCGACUUGUCCCCAGAGCCCAGCAAGGCAUUCAGCACACAAUAUACAUUUCACUAAUAGACAUUGCAUGAGUCAAUGAAUGAAUGAGAAGUUUGGCAGUUAAAAACAAAUGAACAAAACCCUAAAGCUUUUGUUUUUUUUGGGUCCUACUGGGUGGAGGUGACCAAUUCGAGGAAGAAGAACCAAUGAACCGGGUCCUUCGUGAGAAGAUGGGGCCAGGCCCCACUGUGAGGUGCUCGGUGACUCAGUCAGCACUCCCAUCCACAGACCACUGACUCACUUACGUCCUGUGUGGGGAGAAGUACAAAGCCAGGAACAGAAUCUGGACAAGGCCCCAGACGGCCGGGCCCCACUGCCUCCCUGCUCUCCUUUCCCACCUUCCCGCUCACUCUGGGAGAUAUGCCAGACACAUCCCCACCUCAGGCCUUUGUCUCUGCUGUUCCCCCUGCCGGGAACCCUUAGCCACCGGCUCUUUGCUUGACUGAGCCUCAGCUCCAACAGCACCUCCUCAGAGAAACCUUCCCGACCACCGCAGCCGUCGCUGCCGCUGUGAUCCAGUUUAUUUCCUUCUGAGCGCUUACUUCUGCUCUGAACGAGCCAGCCUGUUCCUGCCCUCCUGCUGGGUCCUCUGCUGCCCCACCACAGUGUAAGCUCCAGGAGGCCCUGCUCCAGCUUGAUGUCACCAUGUCCUUGGUGCCUGGAGUUGCGUGCGGCAUGUGAAAAGCACCCAAUGCACAAGUGCUGUAUGAGUGAGAAAAGGGGCUGGAGCUGACUUCCGCACCAAGGCCUCUGGGCCCCCUUACAGGUAAGCAGCAGGAGCAGCCAGAAGAGGGAUCCGGGGCCCCACGGUGAAGGCGAUGGCGUGUGUGCACGUGCAUGUGUGGGUGCGUACUGGGUGGGCACUAGGCGAAUAAUGAGUGACCACAGUUAGUUGAACACCUACCAUGUGCCAGACACAAACUUUCUUUUAAAUCGCUUCAUCCUCAGAAUAAGGCAGAUGCCACCACGACCCCCAGUUUACAGGGAUGCUGGGGAUACAGCAGUGCUUAAGUGAAAGUUCCUGUGCCCGUGGAGCCCAUGGUUAGGGGUGGUGGGGGCACACCAACAUGAGCAGCGGAUGGAAGGUCAGACGCUGGUCUGCACUGAGCUCUGGAUCUGAAGUGGCAAAGGACACAGCGGCUGCAGGGUGGAAAAGUAAGAUCCUGCUGCCAGCUGCCUGCCCUGAAACAUUGAUUGACAUUUCAGCUUGGAUGCCUAUAAUAAAGAUAGCUAAUGAAGCGAUGCGUGGUACAAGUAUGAUGACACUUUAGAGAUGAGGAAAACAAGGCUCAGAGAGAGUAAAUCACCUACUAAACCAAACAUAUGCAAAACCACUUCCUCUUCCAGUCUUGCCCAUUUCAGUAAAUGACACCACAGUUUACUGAAUUCCUCAAGUCAGAAAUCAGGGGAUGAUCCUUCGUUCUUUCCUUUCCUCACUCCCACAUCUUACCCAUCACCAGUUUGUCUAUUCUCACUCCGAAACACAGAACAUCCUCCACUCGGCUAUUUCCCUCGCAUCCCCACUGCUGUUACCCUCCUUGUACCAACAUCUGUCUGCUGAGCCGCUCACCGUCUGCCUUCUGCCUCAGCCUCUGCUGUCCACUCUCUUCCAGCAGUGGUGAGCGAUCUUCUCAAAACAUAAGCCAGAUGUAGUAUCAGUCGCUCACUGAAAACUCUCUAACGGUUUCCCAUUGGCUUUUUUUCCCUCUCUACUUCUGAUAUUUUUCUCUUUUAUUUUUUGAUUUCCAACGUUAUUGUGUUGUGCCUAGAUGUGGUUUUCUUUGUAUUUGAGGGUUCAUAGACCUUCUCAAAUACAUGGCUUGAUGUCUCUCAUUCAUUUGAAAAUAUUCUUAGUCAUUACCUCUUAACUAUUACAGCCGCCCAAUACUUUCUCUUCCUCUUCUUCUGAGGCUCCACUUAUACCUACAUUAGAUCUGUUAUACCACGUCCCAUAUGUCUCUUACGCUCUUUUGUCUCUUCAGUCUGGAUAUUUUCCUCUGACAUAUCUUUCAGUUCCUUACAUCUCUCUUCGGCUGUAUCUAAUCAGCUAAUAAAAUUAUCUUUUUUGUUCUUAAUUUCGGUUACUCUAUUCUUCAGGUCCACAAUUUCCAUUUGAUUCCCCCUUUGUUUCUUUCUUUUUUUCUUUUUUGGGUUUAUGUCCUUCCAGUCUUUUCUUAAAUAGUAGGUUUUAUUUUUUUAGAGCAGGUUUAGGUUCACAGCAAAAUUGAGCCGGAAAUAUAGAGAACUCCCACAGACACCCGGCCCCAACACAUAUAGCCACCCCCACCAUCAACACCCACCAUCACAGCGGUAUGUUUGUUACGGUGGAUGAACCUUCAGUGACACAUCAUCAUCACUGGAAAUCCAUAGUUUACAUAGGCUUCACUGUUGGUGUAUAUUCUACAGGAUUUGACAAAUUUAUAGCGACAUGUAUUCGCCAUGAUACUAUUGUACAGAAUAUUUCACUGUCCUAAAACUCCUCUGUUCUCUGGUCAUUCAUCCCUCCCUCCACCCUGACUCCUGGUAACUACUGAUCUUUUUUUUUUUUGAGGAAGAUUAGCCCUGAGCUAACUGCUGCCAAUCCUCCUCUUUUUGCUGAGGAAGACUGGCCCUGAGCCAACAUCCAUGCCCAUCUUCCUCUACUUUAUACAUGGGACGCCUACCACAGCAUGGCUUUUGCCAACCAGUGCCAUGUCCGCACCCGGGAUCUGAACCAGUGAACCCCAGGCCUCAGAGAAGCAGAACGUGCGAACUUAACCGCUGCACCACCAGGCCGGCCCCACUACUGAUCUUCUUAUUAUCUCCAUAGUUUUGCCUUUUCCAGAAUGUCAUAUAGUUGGAAUUAUAGUAUGUGGCCUUUUCAGACUGGCUUCUUUCACUUAGCAAUAGGCAUUUAAGAUUCCUCAUUGUCUUUUCGUGGCUCGAUAGCUCAUUUCUUUUUAGAGCUGAGUAGUAUUCCAUUCUGCAAGCAUACUAAAGUUUAUUUAUUUCUUCACCUACUGAAGGAUAUCUUGGUUGCUUCUAAGUUUUUGCAAUUAUGAAUAAAGCUCCUAUAAAUGUCCAAGUGCAGGUUUUUGUGUGGAUAUAAAUUUUCAACUCAUUUGGAUGAAUACCAAGGAGCAUGAUUGCUGGAUCACACAGUGACAGUAUAAUUUAGUUUUAUGAUCCCCUUUUCUAGAGUCCCAUUCAUUGCCAAAAUUCUCCAUCUUGUCUUUUAACUCACUGAACAUUUAAUCAUAGUUGUUUUAAAGUCCAUGUCAGAUAAUUCUAUUUUCUGGAUCCCCUUGAAUUUGGUUUUAUUGUUUGUGCGAUUUUUUUUCCCCCCAAUUUUUGGCCAAGUCUUGUUUUUUUGUAAACCUGGACAUUCAAUAUGAAAAAUUACAGAGAUAAUUUGAUCCCCUUACUUUUGCUUCUGGCAGGAAGCUCAGUGGAGACCACUGGAACAGUCCCAGAUUGCCUUAGUCACUGAGGACCUGAGCUGGCUUGCAGUCAGGAUUCAGUCCCUGGGAGGGCUGGUCUAUUUCUUGUUCUUAACAUGCAGCCUUCAGGAGCCCGGCCCAAAGUCUUGGAUGUUUCGUGAACCCCUCCUCCUUGGUAGGUUCCAGACUCCAAGCUCCAUGAGUCUGGUGAGAGCUCUGCUCAGCUUCCUAGCCUCUCAGAUGUCACUUUCAAGUCAGCCAUCACCUUGAGGGGGAAAGUAGCGUCUGUUGCCAGCUUUGCCUCCCUGGGCAUCCAUCCUUUCCUAGACCUCGGCCCCAUGAUUCUUGUAAUUUCUCAUUGCAUUGAUGGUACCUUCAGACAGAUGUGUUUUUCUUUCUAAUUUUAUCCAGUUUUCUAGUGUUCUCAGCAGGAGGAAUGGUCUGAAAUAAUCUACUCCACCAUUGCCGGAAGUCCUCCAAUUAUGUUUAGAGAAAAGUGAAUACUCCUUGUCCUGCCUACCAGCUUCCUGCCAUACCAUUCUCUCCCUUGCUUGCGACACUGUAGUGAAAUGUGGGGCUUUUUCCUAUAACUUGAAUAUGACAAGCUCCUUCAUGCCCCAGCACCUUUGCACCCACUUUCCCCUCUGUCUAGAAUGUUGUUUCCUUUACUUCAUUUUCCAGGCCUCUGUUUAAAUGUCAGUUCUUCUGAGAGGCCUUUCCUGACCUUGCAUUCUAACUCAUUCAGCUGUACACUCACACCCUGUUCCACGUGGCCGCUCUUGUAUACACCCUGCUCUUCCCUUCACACCACUUACCACAAUUUUUAAUUAUAUAUUGAUCUAUUAUCCUUUGUUGGUUGUCUGUCUUCCCACCACAGGGAAGUCCUGCGAGGCCAGGGUUGUCUGAGUUUGGGCUCCCUCACAGGCAGGCCCUGAGAUGAAGAUUAAGCACACGUUGUUUUUUGGGAAUUGCAGGUAAUAGGGAGGGAAGGCAGCCAAGAAGGGGUGCGAUUAUGCAGUGACCACGGUGGGCAGCGGAGCCAUCCUGCGAGAAAGCUGGGGAACAUGGCACAAAACUCAUGCCCAGGCGGGGGCUGGGCAUUUACACACCAGUUCCUGCCAGGCCUGCUGGUGGGGGCUGCUCCUGGGGUCCACAGAGUCCCUGGUGCUGCUGCCCUGCAGCUGGCACAGAGCCCCACAGAGGGGCGGCAGGCUCGGCCUGGAAGGCAUCUGGGCGCAGGGAAGCAGGAGGACCUGAGAGGGUCCACAGGGCCCUGCCAGGACGGCUUCUGUUCGGGGGACCAUUUUAUUCCCAGCCCCAGACACGGGGCCUGGCAGGCAGUAGGAAGUCAAUGAUGACAUGUUGAAUAAGUGCACUUUUAGAACUCCGUGCCAGGUUUAGAACCUAGCUCUCCAAACGGGCUCGCCAUGGUAUUAAAGAUAAUUGUCGGGACCCUGCUGCCGGCCAGGCGCCUUCGAGGGCAGGAAGGGGCUUUCCAUAAGAGCAGAGUAAUCAGAGGAGGGCGCCCCACAGCCUGGAGCCUGGUCUUUUUGAAGAACGAGACUGUGCACCCUGUGGAGAAGAAACGUCUCAGCGACAGUCCUCACGUGCCCCGGGCCAUCCUAGGGGUCAUCCCGCAUAGACUGCACGGGCGAGAAGGCCCCGGUGGAUGGUGCUCUGCCAGCUUGGAGGAGAGCUUCCGCACUCUGCACUGCUCAGAGGCGGCCCCAGCUGAGGCGGGAGCUCCCUGCCACUGCUCCUCCAGGAGAAAACUAGGUCCCGGCCCUCAGAGCGCCUGCUGCCUGGUUGAGAGGACAAGACGUCCCUCUGCGUAGCGCUGGACGAGAAGGACAGGCCCGCACACAACAGCUUGAGGCGAAAACACUCAGACUCGGUUUCUGGUUCCCAGAGUGCACGCUGGGCCGCCAGGCGGAGGAGGCGCUGAGGCAGGAGUCAGUGGUUCUGUUGAUUCAUCUGUAUGAUCUUAGUGCUGUGUUUCAAAGGGCCCGCUCGGUCCAGUGCUGGAUGGGGCCUGCUUGUACAAGGCGCCCUUGUUGGGUUUCAGAGCACCUGACACCUGGAUUGAGAUGCUGACAAGCCCAGGAAGGGGCUGGAAGGAAAGUGGGGCCACCCCUGGGAAACACACCGGGGUCUCCGAUAGCUUUGUCCUGUGUCUCCCACUGUGUUUUGUUUUAUAUGUCGACUUGGCUGGGCUACAGAACCCAGAUGUUUGGUUCAAUACUAGUCCAGAUGCUGCCGUGAAGGUGUUUUUAUGUAAGAUUAACAGUCAAAUCAGUAGACUUUGAGGAAAGCAGAUGAUCCUCCCUAGUGUGGUGGGCCUCAUCGAAUCAGUUGGAGGCCUUAAGAGAAAAUGACUGCGACUCCUGAUGGCCUCUGGACUCCAGCUGUAACAUCGCCUCUUCCCUGGGUCUCCAGCCCGCCAGCCUGCCCUACAGAUCUUGGACUUGCCAGACCCCACAGCUGCAUGAGCCAACUCCUUAAAAU
Molecule: long non-coding RNA, 6335 nt
Filed under: Equus caballus (horse)
Lineage: Eukaryota; Metazoa; Chordata; Mammalia; Perissodactyla; Equidae
Description: lncRNA (ENSECAG00000047168.1)
Source: RNAcentral